This 495-nucleotide ribosomal RNA is filed under the name uncultured bacterium. RNAcentral's name for it is "partial 16S ribosomal RNA". It matches the Rfam family "Bacterial small subunit ribosomal RNA", at positions 30 to 507 of the family's 1533-position model. The record is from RNAcentral.
UGCACGCUGGCGGCGUGCCUAAUACAUGCAAAUCGAGCGAACGGACGAGAAGCUUGCUUCUCUGAUGUUAGCGGCGGACGGGUGAGUAACACGUGGAUAACCUACCUAUAAGACUGGGAUAACUUCGGGAAACCGGAGCUAAUACCGGAUAAUAUUUUGAACCGCAUGGUUCAAAAGUGAAAGACGGUCUUGCUGUCACUUAUAGAUGGAUCCGCGCUGCAUUAGCUAGUUGGUAAGGUAACGGCUUACCAAGGCAAUGAUGCAUAGCCGACCUGAGAGGGUGAUCGGCCACACUGGAACUGAGACACGGUCCAGACUCCUACGGGAGGCAGCAGUAGGGAAUCUUCCGCAAUGGGCGAAAGCCUGACGGAGCAACGCCGCGUGAGUGAUGAAGGUCUUCGGAUCGUAAAACUCUGUUAUUAGGGAAGAACAUAUGUGUAAGUAACUGUGCACAUCUUGACGGUACCUAAUCAGAAAGCCACGGCUAACUACGUG